GUUCAACAUUAAUUAGAGAGAUACAUUGUCUACAGUCUAUUAAACUUAGAGACCAAUUAAUGUGGGGAUGAGAGCAUUGGUCAUAAAGAAAAGAAAAAACUGAAAUCUGAGGGAAAAUCCGAAGAAUCUAGGGAAGUUCAAUCAGAGGAAGAGACUAAAGAGUGCGAGAGAAAAAGCUUGGUUUAAAAUUGGGUUCUUCGGGUGAAGAAUCUGACGAGGAAGCAGAGUCUGCAGAGAAAGAUGGCGAAGAGGUAUUGGAGGAAGAAGAAGAGGAGGAUACUUUUGAUUGAUGAAAAAUGAUUUUGGUGAUCUCGAUGGUUUGUAGAAAGCGAACGUAACAAAUUUCGGAAAAGAAACUCAUAGUAGGCUCACAUAUUGGUCUUACUAUUCAAUUGCAUUCGGAGAAACUCCAAGUGUGGGAAUGACGGUCGGAGGAAAUUUAGACGAGUGACAGAGAAAGAACGAAGAGGUUAGGCAUUAGGAAAUGGGAGCUAAGAGAAAGACGAGAUGGGCGGUGUUGAAACUACAGCUCGUGUAGGCAUCACAUGCGUAUAGAACUUAUUUUUUGUCUCAUAUUAGUACUGUAACUUUAGAAAAUCUCGAAUCUCUGCUUUGUAUUCACCCUUUUGUGGGAAUUGUCUCAGCUUGGUACAAUGUUUCUUUUUGACAUCUUAUUCUGCUAUGCAUGUACUGUAGCUGUGUUUAAGUGAAGAUGAGAAUCACCAGUACUCACUGGUUCUUAA
Molecule: long non-coding RNA, 743 nt
Organism: Eutrema salsugineum
Lineage: Eukaryota; Viridiplantae; Streptophyta; Magnoliopsida; Brassicales; Brassicaceae
Exons: 2
Source: RefSeq, a predicted model, not a curated record